Molecule: ribosomal RNA, 403 nt
Filed under: uncultured bacterium
Lineage: Bacteria
Description: partial 16S ribosomal RNA
Rfam family: Bacterial small subunit ribosomal RNA
Source: RNAcentral
GACGAACGCUGGCGGCGUGCCUAAUACAUGCAAGUCGAACGCAGUGGGGACGGGUGAGUAACACGUGGGUAACCUCCCAUCAGAGGGGAUAACACUAGGAAACAGGUGCUAAACCGAUACUGAUGGAUGGACCCGCGGUGCAUUAGCUAGUUGGGGGGGUAACGGCGCACCAAGGCCACGAUGCAUAGCCGACCUGGGAGGGUGAUCGGCCACACUGGAACUGAGAACCGGCCCAGACUCCUACGGGAGGAAGCAGUGGGGAAUUUUCGGCAAUGGACGAAAGUCUGACCGAGCAACGCCGCGUGAGUGAAGAAGGUUUUCGGAUCGUAAACCUCUGUUGUUAGGGAGGCGGUAUCUAACCAGAAAGCCACGGCUAACUACGUGCCAGCCGCCGCGGUAAUAC